Molecule: transfer RNA, 69 nt
Filed under: Camelus bactrianus (Bactrian camel)
Lineage: Eukaryota; Metazoa; Chordata; Mammalia; Artiodactyla; Camelidae
Also listed under: 2 other names
Rfam family: tRNA
About the family: Transfer RNA (tRNA) molecules are approximately 80 nucleotides in length. Their secondary structure includes four short double-helical elements and three loops (D, anti-codon, and T loops).
Source: Rfam by way of RNAcentral
GGUUAAUAGCUCAAAUGGUAGAGCGCAUGCUUAGCAUGCACGAGGUCCUGGGUUCAAUCCCCAGGACCU